CUACGGGAUGCUCCAGUGGGGAAUAUUGCACAAUGGGCGCAAGCCUGAUGCAGCCAUGCCGCGUGUAUGAAGAAGGCCUUCGGGUUGUAAAGUACUUUCAGCGGGGAGGAAGGGAGUAAAGUUAAUACCUUUGCUCAUUGACGUUACCCGCAGAAGAAGCACCGGCUAACUCCGUGCCAGCAGCCGCGGUAAUACGGAGGGUGCAAGCGUUAAUCGGAAUUACUGGGCGUAAAGCGCACGCAGGCGGUUUGUUAAGCCAGAUGUGAAAUCCCCGGGCUCAACCUGGGAACUGCAACUGAUACUGGCAAGCUUGAGUCUCGUAGAGGGGGGUAGAAUUCCAGGUGUAGCGGUGAAAUGCGUAGAGAUCUGGAGGAAUACCGGUGGCGAAGGCGGCCCCCUGGACGAAGACUGACGCUCAGGUGCGAAAGCGUGGGGAGCAAACAGGAUUAGAUACCCCUGUAGUC
RNAcentral lists this ribosomal RNA (464 nucleotides) under uncultured bacterium. RNAcentral's name for it is "partial 16S ribosomal RNA". It matches the Rfam family "Bacterial small subunit ribosomal RNA", at positions 339 to 795 of the family's 1533-position model. The record is from RNAcentral.